AUGAUCAACUUGGUGCUGGAUCCGGUGCAUAAUGAUACCCCCCUUUGGAGAUGGAAUGCUGCAAGCUCAUAUACCUCGAAGUCGACAUAUGACAUGUUAUGGCACGGCAGUGUUCGAUGUGCGUCGGCUGCUGCAAUCUGGAAAUGCUGGGCGCCCCUAUCCUGUAAGAUUUUUAUGUGGCUCGCGAUGCAAUAUCCGCUCUGGACAGCAGACAGACGGUUACGACAUGGGCUGCAAGAUCACACCUCUGCUUGUUAUAUCUGCGCCCAGGAGGAAGACUCGAUUGAUCACUUAUUACUGCACUGUGUCUUCGCGAGACAAGUCUGGCACAACUGCUUUCUGAAAGCGAGAAUCAGUGACACACUGGUGCCGACGGUGUACGACAAGAUUGAAGAUUGGUGGCUAGAAGCUCGUGCGUGCAUCCCGAAGGUUAACAGGAGAGGGUUCGACUCGGUUGUCAUGCUCAUUUGCUGGCAUCUUUGGAAGCAUCGUAACGGUUUGGUAUUCGGACCAGCCAGAACUAGCUUGACGGUGGGUGCAUUCACAAGUCAGGUCUUCGACGUUUUGAGAUCUUGGGUGAGUGCAGGAGCGAAUGGAGUCGAAAUAUUUUGUGAGUAG
Molecule: ribosomal RNA, 618 nt
Filed under: Triticum aestivum (bread wheat)
Lineage: Eukaryota; Viridiplantae; Streptophyta; Magnoliopsida; Poales; Poaceae
Description: partial small subunit ribosomal RNA
Source: RNAcentral